GACGAACGCUGGCGGCGUGCUUAACACAUGCAAGUCGAACGGAAAGGCCCUGCUUUUGUGGGGUGCUCGAGUGGCGAACGGGUGAGUAACACGUGAGUAACCUGCCCUUGACUUUGGGAUAACUUCAGGAAACUGGGGCUAAUACCGGAUAGGAGCUCCUGCUGCAUGGUGGGGGUUGGAAAGUUUCGGCGGUUGGGGAUGGACUCGCGGCUUAUCAGCUUGUUGGUGGGGUAGUGGCUUACCAAGGCUUUGACGGGUAGGCGGCCUGGGAGGGUGAACGGCCACAUUGGUCCUGAGAUACGGCCCAGACGCCUACGGGAGGCAGCAGUGGGGAAUAUGGCACAAUGGGCGGAAGCCUGAGGCGGCAGCCCCGCGUGCGGGAUGACGGCCUUCGGGGUGUAAACCGCUUUCGCCUGUGACGAAGCGUGAGUGACGGUAAUGGGUAAAGAAGCACCGGCUAACUACGUG
Molecule: ribosomal RNA, 468 nt
Filed under: uncultured bacterium
Lineage: Bacteria
Description: partial 16S ribosomal RNA
Rfam family: Bacterial small subunit ribosomal RNA
Source: RNAcentral